AUAGUUUGCAGCUAAACCCUGUCUUAUUUUCUUUUUUAGUCAUACUAACAUCCUUCAAUUUCAAAUUGUGUUAGGGAACCCAGAAUAUAAAAGAAGGUUAUCUAUAUUAGUUUUCUAUUGCUGGGUAACAAACUACCACAAAAUUAACGUUAAAAAAACACACACUUAUUAUCUCAUGGUUUCUGUGGAUAAGCUUAGCUGGGUACUCUGCUACUUAGGGUUUCACAAAGCUAAAAUCAAGGUGGAAGCUGGGCUGUGUUCUCAUCUGGAGGUUAGAAUGGGAAAGAAUCAACUUCUACUCUUACUCAGAUCAUAAGGCAUAAUUAAUUUCCUAGUGUCUACAGAACUGAAGGCCUGGGCUUCUUGCUUUCUAUCAGCUGAAGGCUUCCUUCAUCUUUUAGUGACUGCCUAGAGUUACCAGAGGCCACCCCGCUUCCUAGAGGCUGCCCACAGUUCUUUGCCAUUGGACUUUACUAACAUAGUGGCUUACUUCAUCAAGACAGCAAGGAGAGUCUCUAGAACAAGUCUGCUAACAGUAGAGUGUUUUACAUAAUGUGAUGUCAUCCCAUGUAUGACAUUACAUCCACCACCUUUGCCAUUUCCAUGGCUUAGAAGCAAGUCACAGGUCCUAACUCACACUCAAGGGGAGGAGGCCACACAAAGCAAUGACCAUCAGGAGAAGAGAUUAGAGGUGCCACCUUAGCAUUUGUCUGCCACACAGUCUUCCUAAGAAAACCAAGAUCUAGAAUUUCUAGUAGAAUUUUCUUUUGUUCAUCUAAGAAUCAAUUAAUUCUUAAUUCUAAGCUUGAAGUGUAACUGCUUUUUUAUGGCUUGGGAAACUGGGCCCAUGAAAGUGCAUCACCUCCCUCAUUCUCUGGACCACCUGCUAAUUUGCUGCAGAAAGAUCAACUGUGUGAACCAAGCUGAGUGUCUUCAGCAGCCCCUGAGUUGCUGCACUGUGAACUGGGUGUACAGACUGCUAAUGCUUUGGUUGGAGUUCUUUCAACAAGGAAAUUACUCGAUGCACCAGCUUUGAAGCGACGCGGCAUAUGCAUGCUCUAGAAAGGUAAAAUGCUAAGGCCUGUCCUGCUGAAGAGUCCAGUGGUCACACCAGCUUCACAUGACGUAGGAACACAGCUUCUCCACAACCUCUGACCAUCUCCAACCUCUGAAGUGGUUCUCUGGAUCUACUGUCCCAAUAUGCUGUGUUAUUUGUAACAUGCUGAGGGCUCUGCCCCACUUACAUUCCUUACCUCUUCUAGAUGAUGCAUUAAAAUAUUUUGUGAUCCAUAAUGAGUCUGAUUUGUGAAAUGAUUCAUUUACCCAAAUGUUUAUGAGCAUCUAUUACAGGGCAGUCUUGGUGACAGGUGGCAGAAUUUAAAGGAGAAACAUGAUAGUCAUUGCUUUGCCUCCUCUGAGCUAAAUAUCCUGCAAGGGAGACAAGUGCAUUAAAUAAGAAAUUACAGUAAUAAUUAUUAAAAAGCCAAGAAACAACAGAUGCUGGUGAGGCUAUGGAGAAAUAGGAAUGCUUUUACAUUGUUGGUGGGAAUGUAAAUUAGUUCAACUAUUAUGGAAGACAUUGUGACGAUUCCUCAAGGAUCUAGAACCAGAAACACCAUUUGGCCCAGCAAUCCCAUUACUGGGUAUAUACCCAAAGGCAUAUAUAUCAUUCCGUUAUAAAGAUACAUGCACACUUAUGUUUGUUGCAACAGUAUUCGCAACAGCAAAGACAUGGAACCAACCGAACUGCCCAUCAAUGAUAGACAGGAUAAAGAAAAUGUGGUACACACACACCACUCUAUGUGUAUAAUAUACACUAUGUGUAUAUCAUAUGUGGUACUAUGCAGCCACAAAAAGGAAUGAGAUCAUGUCCUUUGCAGGGACAACGAUGAAGCUGGAAGCCAUCAUCCUCAGUAAACUAACACAGGAACAGAAAACCAACACCGCAUGUUCUCACUCAUAAGUGGGAAUUGAACAAUAAUAACACAUGGACACAGGUAGGGGAACAACACACACUGGGGCCUGUUGGGCGGUGCCGGGGGAGGGGCGGGAGAGCAUCACGACAAAUAGCUAAUGCAUGCAGGCCUUAAAACUUAGGUGACGAGAUGAUAGGUGCGGUAAACCACCACAGCACAUGUAUACCUAUAUAACAACCCUGCACGUUCUGCACAUGUAUUCCAGAACUUAAAGUUAAAAUAAAUGAAUAAAUAAAUAGGAAUAAAAAUACAUUUUAAAAAAUUUAAAAAGAAAUUACAGUAAUAGUUGAUGAGCGCUGUCUUAGCAUUUGAAGGGGCAAUAAGAACAUAUAUGUAGCCAGAUAGCCUACCCUAGUCAAGUGGGACCAGAUAAUGCAUUUAAUAAACAGUUGUUGGGCAUCAUUACAUACAUAAGAUGACAUGUAGACUGGUGCUGGAAGAUUAUUUGGACUUGGUUCAAUGAAAAGGUGGCAAUGUAGGGGCAGGAACGGCAGUCAAGAUAGGGAGAAGAACAAGCAUGCAAGAAGACCAGAAACCAAAAAGAGGAAGGCAUUUAGAGAAAUUCAAGUAAGAUCAGCACAGCUGUCAAAGAGUAGUGAUCAGAGUAGGACUGGAGGAGGAGGCCAUGAGAGGUCUUUCAAGCCAAGCUAAAGAAUCUGAAAUGUGUGCUGAUAUAGCCCAAUGGUUACAUUGCUCACAAGGUGCCUACUAAAUAAGAGUAGACUUCUUUUGUAUUAUUAACAUCAAAUUUAUACAUUUCUGAGCACAAAUUGAAGUUAUCUUGUGCCACACAGGUCUUCAUUUAGAAAUACUCAAUAAAGGUCUAAUGAUUAUAAAACUGAAUGAUUUUGCCAAAUACAAAUUAUAAUGUCAUCUCUUUGUAAUGAUUUUGUAAUCCACGUAUUUGCACAUUUCCUUACUGAGCAUCUUAGCAAAUAAUAUUUUAUCUUUAAAAACAGUUCUUUAACCUUUAUCAAAAGCUUAAUUCCAAAAAAAAAAACUUUAAAGGCACUGAAAUAGAUGAUUGCAAAUUUCCAAUGCACUGAAAUAUAAUCAUAAGCACAUUGAAUGGAAACGCUAUAAAUAAAA
Molecule: long non-coding RNA, 3065 nt
Filed under: Macaca mulatta (Rhesus monkey)
Lineage: Eukaryota; Metazoa; Chordata; Mammalia; Primates; Cercopithecidae
Description: lncRNA (ENSMMUG00000045592.2)
Source: RNAcentral